GAUGAACGCUGGCGGCGUGCCUAAUACGUGCAAGUCGAGCGAACAGAUGAGAAGCUUGCUUCUCUGAUGUUAGCGGCGGACGGGUGAGUAACACGUGGGUAACCUACCUAUAAGACUGGGAUAACUCCGGGAAACCGGGGCUAAUACCGGAUAAUAUUUUGAACCGCAUGGUUCAAUAGUGAAAGACGGUUUCGGCUGUCACUUAUAGAUGGACCCGCGCCGUAUUAGCUAGUCGGUAAGGUAACGGCUUACCAAGGCGACGAUACGUAGCCGACCUGAGAGGGUGAUCGGCCACACUGGAACUGAGACACGGUCCAGACUCCUACGGGAGGCAGCAGUAGGGAAUCUUCCGCAAUGGGCGAAAGCCUGACGGAGCAACGCCGCGUGAGUGAUGAAGGUCUUCGGAUCGUAAAACUCUGUUGUUAGGGAAGAACAAAUUUGUUAGUAACUGAACAAGUCUUGACGGUACCUAACCAGAAAGCCACGGCUAACUACGUGCCAGCCGCCGCGGUAA
This 514-nucleotide ribosomal RNA is filed under the name uncultured bacterium. RNAcentral describes it as "partial 16S ribosomal RNA". It matches the Rfam family "Bacterial small subunit ribosomal RNA", at positions 28 to 523 of the family's 1533-position model. The record is from RNAcentral.